RNAcentral lists this non-coding RNA (30 nucleotides) under Mus musculus (house mouse). RNAcentral also lists the same sequence under 1 other name. Lineage: Eukaryota; Metazoa; Chordata; Mammalia; Rodentia; Muridae. The record is from RNAcentral.
UCGGAGGUACCACUGUCUUGUUAGAACAAA